UGCUUCAGUUCAAUAAACUCACCUUUUGU
This 29-nucleotide non-coding RNA is filed under the name Rattus norvegicus (Norway rat). Lineage: Eukaryota; Metazoa; Chordata; Mammalia; Rodentia; Muridae. The record is from RNAcentral.